This 500-nucleotide ribosomal RNA is filed under the name uncultured bacterium. RNAcentral describes it as "partial 16S ribosomal RNA". It matches the Rfam family "Bacterial small subunit ribosomal RNA", at positions 30 to 523 of the family's 1533-position model. The record is from RNAcentral.
AUUGAACGCUGGCGGCAGGCCUAACACAUGCAAGUCGAGCGGAUGACGGGGGCUUGCUCCUGGAUUCGGCGGCGGACGGGUGAGUAAUGCCUAGGAAUCUGCCUGGUAGUGGGGGACAACGUUUCGAAAGGAACGCUAAUACCGCAUACGUCCUACGGAAGAAAGCAGGGGACCUUCGGGCCUUGCGCUAUCAGAUGAGCCUAGGUCGGAUUAGCUAGUUGGUGAGGUAAUGGCUCACCAAGGCGACGAUCCGUAACUGGUCUGAGAGGAUGAUCAGUCACACUGGAACUGAGACGCGGUCCAGACUCCUACGGGAGGCAGCAGUGGGGAAUAUUGGACAAUGGGCGAAAGCCUGAUCCAGCCAUGCCGCGUGUGUGAAGAAGGUCUUCGGAUUGUAAAGCACUUUAAGUUGGGAGGAAGGGCAGUAAGCGAAUACCUUGCUGUUUUGACGUUACCGACAGAAUAAGCACCGGCUAACUCUGUGCCAGCCGCCGCUGUAA